UACAGAGGUCACAAGCGUUAUCCGGAUUUAUUGGGCGUAAAGCGUUUCGUAGGUGGAUCAGAAAGUUACUCUUCAAAGACUACGGCUCAACCGGAGGAAGGGGAGUAAUACUAUUGGUCUUGAAAUAUGGUGGGGCUUCCGGAACUGAUGGUGUAGUAGUGAAAUACGUUGAUAUCAUCAGGAACUCCGAGGGCGAAGGCAGGAAGCUAACCAUUUUUUGACACUGAGGAACGACAGCUAGGGGA
RNAcentral lists this ribosomal RNA (245 nucleotides) under uncultured bacterium. RNAcentral describes it as "partial 16S ribosomal RNA". It matches the Rfam family "Bacterial small subunit ribosomal RNA", at positions 524 to 767 of the family's 1533-position model. The record is from RNAcentral.